Molecule: non-coding RNA, 24 nt
Filed under: Arabidopsis thaliana (thale cress)
Lineage: Eukaryota; Viridiplantae; Streptophyta; Magnoliopsida; Brassicales; Brassicaceae
Source: RNAcentral
UGCUACUGAGCUAAUGAUGGCGUA